RNAcentral lists this ribosomal RNA (493 nucleotides) under uncultured bacterium. RNAcentral describes it as "partial 16S ribosomal RNA". It matches the Rfam family "Bacterial small subunit ribosomal RNA", at positions 28 to 506 of the family's 1533-position model. The record is from RNAcentral.
GACGAACGCUGGCGACGCGCUUAACACAUGCAAGUCGAACGGAAAGGCCUGCUUUCCCUUGUGGAUUGCGGGUACUCGAGUGGCGAACGGGUGAGUAACACGUGAGUGAUCUGCCCCCAACUUGGGUAUAAGCCUGGGAAACUGGGUCUAAUUCCCGAUAGGACUGCAGGGUGGUGCCUGUGGUGGAAAACGAUUUUCUAGUGGUUGGGGAUGAGCUCGCGGCCUAUCAGCUUGUUGGUGGGGUAAUGGCCUACCAAGGCGGCGACGGGUAGCCGGCCUGAGAGGGUGGACGGCCACAUUGGGACUGAGAUACGGCCCAGACUCCUACGGGAGGCAGCAGUGGGGAAUAUUGCACAAUGGGCGGAAGCCUGAUGCAGCGACGCCGCGUGGGGGAUGACGGCCUUCGGGUUGUAAACUCCUUUCGACCGCGAGGAAGCCACCUGGUUGGAAGGGUGGUGACGGUAGUGGUAGAAGAAGUACCGGCUAACUACGU